Molecule: non-coding RNA, 1686 nt
Organism: Cyanistes caeruleus (blue tit)
Lineage: Eukaryota; Metazoa; Chordata; Aves; Passeriformes; Paridae
Source: RefSeq, a predicted model, not a curated record
GCCGCUCCGGCACCACCUCGCUCCCCAGCCCCCUUCACUCCCCGGCCCCCCUCGCUCCCCGGCCCCGCGGCGCGCCCGGCGCCCCUGGGACCCUGGGCAGCACAAUAACGUGAGCAGAAAGGCAGCGAGUGACACGUGUUAGGACGAAAAAGCACCAGCACGGAUUCCUUCCUCAUUACUAACAUUCAAAACCACGCUGUCUCCUUGAGGGAGGACCCCUCGGCUUUUCGGGUUUUCUUCCAGUACGAUUCCACACCCUUCAGCGCUGAGGACACCGGCUGAUCUGAACUGAAAGAGGACAGCCACAGCAGCCCUUACCUGCAUCUCUCUGCUCUAUCCAGCGCUCAGCUGCUUCCAGUCUGAUCUUCCUAAGUAAUCUGAAGCAAACCCUCAAAUGCAAGGAAAGAAGGCAAGAAACAUCAAUGAACACAGUGCAGGUUGCAACAUAAAUGGAACAUCAGAGGAGUGAAAGUUCCUUGCCUUACAGCUGAGCAGGUUGGAAAUAGUUCUGUGCAAGUCAGGUUUCAUCCUCUGCUGUGCUUUCCUCAGGGUAAGUGAGAAAAAGUGUGAGACCCUGCUCUCCCAGGCAGAGCAGAGAGUGAUGCUCAGUGCUGUUACUAAAUGGCUGCUUCUUCAUGCAGAGGAAUUCAGAGGAAAGCAGCUACACUGAGGUUUAAGAUAACACCUCAUUUUCUUCAGGCUUAUCUCUGUUUUUUCCUGAAAUGCUCCCUUUUUUAUCUUUCUGAACUUUGAACUCUGCCAAAAACACUAUCUGGUGUUGAGGUACCUUGCAAAACUUUUCCCCAAUUCUUGUAUUUGGAUUAAUUUAUCCUUAUCAUGAAACAUGUUGUUAUAAAUCUGCUACAUCAUAGCAACUGUAUGAUGGAAACUGCCUAAAAAUGUUUUCUGCUUGCAAGAGAUUGGGUAAAAACCCCAAAGUUGAACUGUAACAAGAGCUAUUAAUGUUUAAAAGCUAAAGUUAAGAGUGUGCAGUUCACCAAGCAGAGGAUCUCUCUGCUCAGCAGUGAAAUGAGGAACAAAAAAUUGUAACUGGUUUAUUGAAUUUCUUUUAUCAGAUGGAUUUUUACCUGAGGGAGGUUCAAUGACUGCAUAAACAGAGCCAGCAAGAGGUUUACAAUGACAAUCACUCAUAUCUUUAUGAAUUAGUGUUGUCAGAGUCAAAUUCUCUCCUCUGUUGUAUUUUGACUGAAUUUCCCUUAACAAUUGUUUUAAGCAUUGUGGCAAGAAAGGGAAGGAGAGCCACUAGAUGGCAUUUUUAAUCCAGCUCUUCCUGCUGCACAAGUUCAGUCGCUGUCCUGAAUGUGAGGCCUCUGUUCUCUCCCUCAGGACUGCUGCAAUCCCAGGAGAAGGAAGGCACAGUUCAGUUUCUCCCUGGAACUGAACACCUUGGGGCAAUGCAGCAUUUAAAGCUCUUUGCAAUGGCUGAGCCUUUACAAAAGCCAGAUUGAGGGGCUGGAGCUGGGGAAAACUGGACAAGGUUCCAAUGCACAAGCCCUCAUUACCUCCUGUGAGAAACAGGGAGCACCUACACCUAUGCCUAAAAUGAGAGGAAAAUACUGAAAAUGCUGAUCUUGACCUGUCUGCAGCAGUACUGGGAUAGUUUGAUUAUGGUACAUAUGGUAAAUAAAAUUAUAUUUUAAUUAUUUUAAUCAGAAAAGUAUUUUA